RNAcentral lists this long non-coding RNA (2294 nucleotides) under Ananas comosus (pineapple). RNAcentral describes it as "long non-coding RNA (ACOM_LNC012384)". Lineage: Eukaryota; Viridiplantae; Streptophyta; Magnoliopsida; Poales; Bromeliaceae. The record is from RNAcentral.
AAAAUGAAUCUGAAAAUUAAAAUUUAAAAUUAAAUUUAAAUGUAAAUAUUGAAAUUAAAAUAAAAAUAAAAAUUUGAAGUUUAAAUCCAAAAUCAGAAUCAAACUUCAAGAAGUAGCUUUUUUCAUCUUCUGAUUCUGAGGCCUUUAAAAUUAGAUUUCUGAUUCUAAAAAGCAGAAUCAUAUUUUAAAAGUGUGUUGCCAAACGUUCUAUUGAGCCGAAAAUUACUUUUCAACUCAAAAGCACUUUUUGAAAGUUAGGCCAAACACCCCCUAUCUCUGCUCAAGCUUGGCUUGAAAUUAAUUUCGAGCCUAAAUUUAGGCUCAAGCUUGGCUUGAAAUUAAUUCGAGCCGAGCUAGAGCGAGCCUAACUUCAAGUCGAACGAGCUGUAGCCCUAAACGAGCUGCUUGAAAUUCUUAACAUCAUGCAAUCUAUAAUUUAAUUUUUAUAAAAUAUUAUCUAAAAUUUGAUAUGAAAAAUAUCUAAUAGUUUAACAUAUAAAAUAAAUGCAUGAAAUACGAUAUUAUAAUACUAAAAUAAUUAGAAAAAUCGACUCUGCGAGGAAGGAAAAAAGAGAGAAAGAGAGCAAUUAGAGUAGGAUUUUGCUGGUUUGAUUUUGUAGGCCCAAUAAUCUAAAUUCUAUAUACAUAUAAUUAAAAUACAUAAUAUAUAUUAUUUUAUAUAAUUAAAAUAUAUAUUAUAUAUAAUUAUAUAUAGAGAGAGUUUGGUUACUAUAUAUACUUUUAUAAGUAUAAACCCCUUUAUACUUAUAAGUUUUCGACCGUUAGAUCUAUUCUUUUGACCAUUUUCAUCCGUUAAAUUAUACUAUUCAACGAACCACCCACUCAAUCUUAGGGGACCACUGUCAUUCUAAUCGCACAUCCAACGACCGAAAAUUUAUAAGUAUAAAAAGGUUUAUACUUAUAAGAGUAUAGUAGCCCGAGCAUAUAUAUAUAUAUAUAAUUAGGCUACUAUACUAUUAAUAACAAAAACCGCUUGCUAUUAGGUUUUCAGCCCUUGGAUGAAAGGAUGUGCGGUUAGAAUGAUAGUAGCCCCCUAGGGUUGAGUGGGUGGCUAGUUGAAUAUUAUGAUCUAACGGAUGAAAAUGGCUAAAGGGAUAGAUCUAAUAGCAGAAAACUCGAUAGCACCAAAUGCUUGAUACUAUCGAUAGUAUAAUAGCUGAACUUUAUAUAUAUAUAUAUAUAUUAUAAUAUAUAUAGGCAGAUUACGGCAAAACUUAAUAAUACAAGCGCUUAGUAUCUAAGAUAUAAUAGAUAAUAUAAUAGCCGGAUAUAUAUAUAUAGAGAGCAGAAGAGAGAGUCGCAUUACUAUAUUAUCGAUAGUACUAAAUGUUGGUAUUAUCGAAUUUUUUGUGCUUAGUAGGGGUGGACGAGACGAGACGAGCGAGCUUAUGUCAGCUCAAAUUCGGAUUGAAAUUAAUUUCGAGCUAAAUCUAGGCUCAAGCUCGGCUUGAAAUUAAUUCGAGCCGAGUUCGAGCGAGCCUAAUUUCGAGUCGAGCGAGCUCGAGCUCUAAACGAGCCGAUUGAAAUUCUCAAUUAUAUAAUCAAUAGUUUAAUUUUUAUAGAACAUUACCUAUAAUUUGAUGCAACAUGUCCAAUAGUUCAAAAUACAAAAUAAUUACAAGAAAUAUGAGCUAGGGUGACUGCCUGACUGGGUGAGGGUCUGAGGGAGAGAGAGAGAGAGAGAGAGAGAGAGAGAGAGAGAGAGGAAGGAAAAAAAAUUAGGGAUUUGGGAAUUUAAAUGUUAUCAUGUUUUAGGGUUAUGUGCAACAGUGAAAGUCUGAAAGAGAGAGUGUUAUGUAAAUUUAGAGUUGGGCUCAAUUGCACGGUUGUACUUAUUGGGUUUAUUUUAUGGGCCAACAAUAAUGGCCCAAAUUAAAUUAAAGCCUAUAUAUAAUUAAAUUACAUUAUAUAUAUAUAUAUAUAUAUAUAUAUAUUCGAGCUUUUCGAGCCUAAUUCGAACGAGCGGAGUAAUACUCAAGCUCGGCUUGAAAUGAAUUUUGAGCCUUUUAUUCAACUAACUACCCACUCAACCCUAGAGGAUCACUGUCAUUCUAACCACACAUUCCUUCAUCCAAAGAUCGAAAAUCUAAUAGCAAGUGAUUGGUACUAUUAAUAGUAUAGUAGACUAUAUUUAUAUGUAUAUAUAUUUCGAGCUUUUCGAGUUUAAUUCGAGCGAGCCGAGUAAUACUCAAGCUCGGCUUGAAAUUAAUUUCGAUCAUAAAUUUAGGCUCAAGCUUGCUUGAAAUUAAUUCGAGCCGAGCUUGAGCGAGCCG